This 497-nucleotide ribosomal RNA is filed under the name uncultured bacterium. RNAcentral describes it as "partial 16S ribosomal RNA". It matches the Rfam family "Bacterial small subunit ribosomal RNA", at positions 28 to 507 of the family's 1533-position model. The record is from RNAcentral.
GAUGAACGCUGGCGGCGUGCCUAAUACAUGCAAGUCGAGCGAACAGACGAGGAGCUUGCUCCUCUGACGUUAGCGGCGGACGGGUGAGUAACACGUGGAUAACCUACCUAUAAGACUGGGAUAACUUCGGGAAACCGGAGCUAAUACCGGAUAAUAUAUUGAACCGCAUGGUUCAAUAGUGAAAGACGGUUUUGCUGUCACUUAUAGAUGGAUCCGCGCCGCAUUAGCUAGUUGGUAAGGUAACGGCUUACCAAGGCGACGAUGCGUAGCCGACCUGAGAGGGUGAUCGGCCACACGGGAACUGAGACACGGUCCAGACUCCUACGGGAGGCAGCAGUAGGGAAUCUUCCGCAAUGGGCGAAAGCCUGACGGAGCAACGCCGCGUGAGUGAUGAAGGUCUUCGGAUCGUAAAACUCUGUUAUUAGGGAAGAACAAAUGUGUAAGUAACUAUGCACGUCUUGACGGUACCUAAUCAGAAAGGCACGGCUAACUACGUA